Molecule: unclassified non-coding RNA, 238 nt
Filed under: Hevea brasiliensis (rubber tree)
Lineage: Eukaryota; Viridiplantae; Streptophyta; Magnoliopsida; Malpighiales; Euphorbiaceae
Source: RNAcentral
GUUUCUCUAAAUGAGCAUGUAUUCCCACAACAUCAUUCAAAGAAGAUAAAGAAUAAGCACUAUUGCAUAAUUUGAAAGAGAUGUGGUCGACGAUCUGCUGAAUAUUCUCAGAUUCAAUCCCAUCACGGAUAUCGUAUCCUUUUAGAUCUGCGGCAGCAGUUAGGGCAUUCCUCCAUCGUUUCACCUUCUGCAUUCCUUCAGCAUCAUCCUUAUACAUCGAUUCAUGUUUGGCAAAGGC